This is a long non-coding RNA of Rhineura floridana, 4269 nucleotides long. RefSeq lists it as uncharacterized. Lineage: Eukaryota; Metazoa; Chordata; Lepidosauria; Squamata; Rhineuridae. The transcript is spliced from 4 exons. The record is from RefSeq and is a predicted model, not a curated record.
CUUACUAGACAAGGAGAUCUCCUUACAUCAACCGUCCAGAACAAACCAGAGGAUUGACCUUGACACCUUCUGAAAGUUUCUAGGAUAGCUUUGUGUAUUGUAAGCCAUCCAAAAGACUCUUGGGUUGGAAUGGCAAAGUAAAUAAAGAGUUCCUGAUCAGCUGAUAGACAUCACACCUUUAGGACGAGGGGCACAGACUGGAGUGGAUGGGCCAGAAUUAGUGAGGAAGGGCAUCACUUGAUGAGACAAGGUCAUGGCUAGAUAAGCUGUAUCGGUGAACAGAAUCUGGCAAAAAUUUCUCCUCAUCAAUCCAUCUGGAGGUUCCUCAUCAAUCCAUCUGGAGAAAGUUAUGUGGGUAAUCUAUACCCAUGGAAAUUAGAACAUUUCCACAUUUGUGUGAGCGGGAUUGACUUUAAAAGUGAACUCAGGAGCACAGAACUUUAUUUCAAGGAGGCCCAAUGUUCAGCAGAUAAUCUUUGACAAGCCAGUAUCUUUCGGCUCUACUUCCACAUUUGUAACAUGCAAAUAAGGAAUGUACACACAGAUUGACUUCCUCUGUUGGCUGCAGCAGGAAAGUUGCUAUGAGCAAGAAAGCUUCUGCAUGCACUGACAUUUGCACACCUUGUACAAUCUGUGGACUUGAUGUUGCCCACUUUUACCUAGAAUUCUCUAGGUUUAUCCCCUCUCCAUGCCAAUAUAGGAAUUCUCAAGCAUUAUCAGUGGACCAUGCAGAGGAAUAGCUAUUGGGCUGUCACUUUUAAAACUGAUCAAAGUAAAAGGGAGCUGAGUUCUUUUCAGGCACAGGGAAGUAAAUACUGUAUAUCCCUGAGGUAACACCGUUAUUUCGACUGAUAGGGUAAAUUUGUUUUAGUGUUUUUAACUAAAGUCACUUUGGCUCUGGUUCCCAAAAUGAUAUAUCAGAAUAUUCUAAAGUUUUCCCAGUUGGUUUUUCCAAUGUCAGAUUAAUUGAUUGUGAGGUUUUGAUAUAAAAGAGAAUUGAUUCAGGAUUUUCAAAAGCCUGCAUAUGUUCUACAGUUAUUGCCACUGUAUUCUAAAUUGUUGAAGGAUACUAUCAAGAGAGUGAUGCUCUGCUUGCUUACAGUGAAGUCAUUCUACUGAAUGUGAUGUGCUGACACCAGAAGCAGCUUGCUGGAGAGAGUGGAACAGCUAUGCUCACUUCCAGGCAGAUGAGUUAUUGUUGCUUCCUGGGCAGGAGAGGGGGGGAAGGAGAGGAGAGGUCAGCAUGGUGCAAAUGCAGAGGCAGGAGUGUAUAUUGGUUCUGCCAAUGCAUUUACAUCACACCAGAUUGCCUUGCCCCUCUCCCUCCCAGUAAAAAAUAGUGACCUGCUUUCCAGGAAGCUAGUGUGGCAGCUCUGCCCAUCCACGAAGCCACUUCUGGCUGACACUACUAUACACGGAUAGUGAAUAACCACUAGAAUAUGCUGAGAAUUUCAUCCCUCCAUAUAAGAAAACUUAGGAGGCCUAAGAUUAUUAUAUAUUAAUUUAUUGUAAAAUUAUUCCAAUGAGAUGUUUUCUUAAAGGAAAACUCAUCAGAAUUGUUUUUAAGGCUCUCUUAUGUGGUUUUCUCUAAAGCAAGUGAGAUAAGGGCCUUCUUGAGGUUGGCUCCCUAUUUGUGGAAUGCUGUUACAAAAGGACAUUAGUUACAAAGCAAACAAAGCAAAAUUUUAGAAGUCUCUAGUGUUCUUUCCCCCCAAAGAAAACCAAACCCAGUAGCAUUGUCCCUUUGAUAUUGGGGUGGAGUGUUUUAGGCAGCAGGGUGAACUAUUUUCAACAGGGACUUUGUUCCUGGAGUAGUUCUUCCACUGGAGAGAGGAAGAAGUGAAUGCCAUAUGUCCUGCACAUAACUGUGGUGAGGUGAAGCUGACCUCCCGAAAGCAGCAUUUUCGCUGAUCACCUGGACAGGGCCUGAGUGGAGCAGCAGUGAGGUCAGGGCUGUGGACCAGCAUUGAGGGGAGUGCCACUGUCAGUAUGACACUCUUAUUGGUGCAACCAUGUGGCCUGACCUCACCACUGGCCCGUCCCAGCCCCAGGCAUAUGAGCAGUGGGAAUGCUGGUGUUAAGAGGGGGGCUCCAUGGCUCUGCCACACCCCAUAUGAUGCUGUUGCUGAUAGUUGUGUGGGACAAGGAAAUGGAAUAUCUACAUGUUUAACGGUCUGAGAGGUUUCAAACAGAGGAUUCUUCUCUUCAGUCAUCACAGAUGAGCACUCUCAGGUUGUUUUUGCGACAUCCCUUUUGCAGUCUCACAUCCUUCUGGAGCCAAAACACACUUCUCUACAAUUGCAAACUUGGUGGAAUACUGGCUUUCUGAAAUACUGCUGUAGAAAUCCCAGUGGAAACUCCACCUUGAGGAGUCAAAAUGUAUGUGCCUGUGGCAGAGGACAGUAACAAUCUGUUCUUAAAAAGUGACAAUCUUUAAAUCAGUGUGAUUGGUGUACUGGAAGGAGGCAUAACUGAUUCCAUUUUACAAUGAUUCACUUAGAUUUGUUCCAGAAUGAACCCCUUAACAGAAUUUAUAUAAGAGACAUUGACUAAAACAAUACUGACACCUGCCAAUCAUUGUGAUGAUGAGUCAUUUUGCAUGGCUCAGGCUUUCCCUUACUUAGGGAGCGCAAGUUCAUUUGUAAUCUAUUUAGUGUGGAGCACAUAAUAGUUUUGCUGCUCAUUACAGAUAUAAUCUUGCUUGGCUUAUUUGAUUUGGGUCGCAUCCACACCAUCUGCUUUCAUGCAAAGACACCAUCCAUGCUGAGUGUGUAACUGGCACCCUAUGUGGCUAUUCACAUCUUUCUCCCUUAAUGAAAGAGACACUGGAGACUGUUCCAUGGCAAAAACCACAGAAAAUUGCUUAACUUUGUCAAUAUGCUGGAGAACCUACAGGGUAAACACAGAGCAGUGUCAGCUGUUUCAGAGAGCAGCAACGCUAAAUAUACCAGAAAAGAGUUUUUAAAAACAAAACAAAAUUUGAGCUUCCUGGGGAAUUCCUGGCAAACACGUGAAAGGUCUUCCAGAGCAGCGAUUAAAGCAAAGCAGAAAAUAUUCUCCUUGCCAGCUCUCACUUGCUAAAUAUGCUUCUCGGCUAAUGUUUUUCAUUGAUUUACGGAACUCUUCCAGACUCUUUUUGUUGUAACAGUUUAUGAGAUUGGAAAAGAAACUCUGGGCUUUGCCAGUUUUUCUGCACCAGAAUGGACAAGUUCAGUAGCCAGCGAGGCUAAUUGAGCAGUUGUUUAAAUUUUGUUUUGGCUCCUCUCAUGCAUUUCUCCUUCUGACUUUGCUUUAGCAUCCAUGACUCGCCUGCUCACAACUGUUGAUGCAAAGAGUUUCUCCCUUGCUGCUGACACCAUCUGGAACUGCCAUUCUAUAUUUUCCCAGCUCAUCAAUUAUUCUGAUUAAAAAGCUCAAGAUAACAGAAUUUCUUAAAAAAGAAAAACCAAAACAAAGUCAAUCACAAGCUCAAAUGCUCUCCCCGCUUUGAAGUCUUCUUUGUGCCUGAAAAACAUCACCCCCUGUUCUCCAUUUAUCAUGCCCUUGUUCUCUCCUCUUUUGACUCAAGGAAAUUCACUUCACCAAAAUUCUCCCGAAACCACCUGAAGCAGGGAUGCAGAACCUGUGGCUUUCCAGAUGUUAUUGGACUACAACUCCCAUUAUCUCUGCCCAUUGGCCAUGCUGGCUAAGUUGAUGGGAGCUGGAAUCCAAAAAUAUCUGGAAGGUCACAGCUUCCCCAUCCUCUUACCUGCAUGUCUGAUGCCAAUGUCAACUGGCACUCAAUGCCCAACCCCUCCAUUACUCAUUUCUUGAAAGAUCUUCUCCUUCACGUGUAUCCAAUGGUGUGGUUCGCACAUACAUACACUUCACAUGGUUUCUCAUGGUGCACCAUUGACUGGAUGUAUGAAUUGAUUGCUUGAAAACUAGCUGUCAAUAUUACAUUAAAGCUGUAACUGUGACUUGUUACUGUGAUGGAUUUUGAAAGUCACUCCUUGACACUGCAGUCAUCUAGUGAUGGUCAUUCAUGUAUUAGCCAGCCCUAAAUAAUUUUGUAAGUGCAUGUAUUUGUGACAUAUCUGUUAAGGCUGUAACUCAGGGGCAGAGCAUCUGCUUUGCAUGCAAGAGGUCCCAGUUCAAUAUCCGGCAGGAUUGUCCAGUGUCAUGGGUGGGGGGAUUAUAGAUCCUUUACAUUUCUGGGAGCAGGAUCCCAGCAAGAUCCUUGUCCUUUUGUGCUGAUUGGAGCCAAUCAGAGUGAAAGGAGCUGAGUCA